GCAAAUGAGAAUUCCAAGUUGCAAGAGUUUCUAAUCGAUCGUGGACAAUUAGUUGACGUAUUACAGGGAGAGAUUUCAGUUAUUUGUCAAGACGUGAGGCAUCUAAAGGAGAAGUUUGACUUGGAAGUACCACUAAGCAAAUCUCUUUCCUCUAGUCAAACGAGCUUCAUUCUAGCUUCAUCAGGUUCAUCUCUAAAAACCGCAGCUAGCGAUUUUGCUCAUUUUUGCUCACCCCUAACGGACAUAGCAGCUCAUCUGGAUGCUGAGAAAGGUGCGUCGCCAAAUCUCGGAAAGGAAGGAAGCCAAGCAUCCUCGGUCAGUAGCUCUAGCUUGGCGUCGGACAAGCUUGAAGAAGAAAGAUCAGAAAGAAGCCAUUUCAAAUCAUCAUUUUCAGAUGAUGGGUGGGAUGUAUUUGACAAAGAUGCUGAGUUUGCUGAAGCUCUAUAUAAAGUUUGAGGGAGUUGUUUUCAAGUUGUUAGGUUAGCUCCAUAUGCCUUUCUGCUUCAGUUUUAUGUAAAAUUUGGGUAGUUAGGAGGCCAAAUAAAUUUCAAUCUCUUGUACAUAGAUGGAAUUAAACUUUUCUGGAUGGAGGGUUUAAGUCUUCAGAUUUAUUUUCUGAUAUUGGUUUUGCUUCAGUAUUCAAUUCAAUGGAUUGGAUAUUAUAUGUUCCUUUGAGAUUAUAAAUAUAGUGUUUAUAGAGCAGUUUGGAUUGUUCUGUCC
Benincasa hispida (wax gourd) is the source of this 720-nucleotide non-coding RNA. NCBI's taxonomy places the organism in Eukaryota, Viridiplantae, Streptophyta, Magnoliopsida, Cucurbitales, Cucurbitaceae. The record is from RefSeq and is a predicted model, not a curated record.